Molecule: signal recognition particle RNA, 243 nt
Filed under: Nannospalax galili (Upper Galilee mountains blind mole rat)
Lineage: Eukaryota; Metazoa; Chordata; Mammalia; Rodentia; Spalacidae
Description: Metazoan signal recognition particle RNA (ENSNGAG00000008754.1)
Rfam family: Metazoan signal recognition particle RNA
About the family: The signal recognition particle (SRP) is a universally conserved ribonucleoprotein. It is involved in the co-translational targeting of proteins to membranes. The eukaryotic SRP consists of a 300-nucleotide 7S RNA and six proteins: SRPs 72, 68, 54, 19, 14, and 9.
Source: RNAcentral
GCUGGGCAUGGUGAUGCAUGCCUUUAAUCCCAGCACUUGGGAGGCAAAGGCAGGCAGAUCUUUUGUGAGUUCAAGGCCAGCCUGGUCUACAUAGUGAGUUACAGGACAGCUGGGCCUACAAGGAGACCCUGUCUUAAAAUGACAAUAAAAAGAUUUUUUUGAGACAGGGUCUCCCUGUAGCCCCAGCUGGCCUGGAACUCACUGUGUAGACCAGGCUGGCCUUGAACUCACAGAGAUCUGCCU